CAUGUGCGUAAGGAGCAUUUCGUCCACCUCAUUGGGGUUAGAUUCCAGGAAUGGCACCAGGUUUGGGUCGCUUUCCCUCAGCCGAUCAAACGCCUGUGAAUGCAGAUACCAUUAUUGAGGAAAAGACCCCACCCGAGGUGAUUAAAAAGCGUGACUCCGAACCCGACGUGUCUGUACAAGCAACAAAGGUGGUUACCGUCACAAUCAACAAUGAUAAGCACCAUGUUUCUUGGCUGAAUAACCAGUAGUCUGCAUGCAGCACACCCGCUCCUUUAGCAUAAUGGUACUCAGAAAUAGUACUCAAUCAAAUUCGACGCGAGUUGCCGUGGAACCAAUAGUGAGUUUUAGGAAAAUAAGCCAAAACGUUGGAAUCACAGUUGUGAUUGACAUAAAUGUCGAAUUUAGAAGGUUUUCGUCGUAAUCUUGAGAGCGCUAAAGCAUUUAUUUGCUACGCAUUUUAGCUGGUUAAGCUAACUGAAAUUGCCUUGGUGGUUAUAGUAACACGCAUCGCUUAUGUCAGGUGCACACUAGUGACAUAAAGACAUGGUAUAUUACACUCUUUUUCGCCGGACAUAACGACAUUGACAUAACGAUGUCGGUGUUAUGUCGGGCUUAUGUCAAAAUGUCAAACCAUUCACACUUGAACAUACGAAGAUAAGAGUGCGCGCGCCCAAGUCGUUAUGUCACUAGUGUGCACCAGGCAUAAGAUUUCCUAGUGGUUACCUUAUUUGUCGGAGCAAACAAAGUUAUUGAGCGGGAGCUGUUCUUCAGCAUAUCCGACAGGGAGCUUUUCUCGAGUAUGCGCGCGAGUGUCGUAAACUGAGGUUCAUUGCGCACGAUGUCGUACAGAGUCCGCUGCUCUGGGAUGAGCACACUGCUGAUCACGUGAAUCACGCUGUUACAUGUUUCUAGGUUCGAUCGCGACAGACAAGCGCCAUUUACUGAGUGCAGCUGGAA
Nematostella vectensis (starlet sea anemone) is the source of this 957-nucleotide long non-coding RNA. RefSeq lists it as uncharacterized. Lineage: Eukaryota; Metazoa; Cnidaria; Anthozoa; Actiniaria; Edwardsiidae. The record is from RefSeq and is a predicted model, not a curated record. The transcript is spliced from 2 exons.